Molecule: ribosomal RNA, 484 nt
Filed under: uncultured bacterium
Lineage: Bacteria
Description: partial 16S ribosomal RNA
Rfam family: Bacterial small subunit ribosomal RNA
Source: RNAcentral
AUUGAACGCUGGCGGCAUGCUUUACACAUGCAAGUCGAACGGCAGCGCGGGCUUCGGCCUGGCGGCGAGUGGCGAACGGGUGAGUAAUGCAUCGGAACGUGCCCAGUAGUGGGGGAUAGCCCGGCGAAAGCCGGAUUAAUACCGCAUACGACCUGAGGGUGAAAGCGGGGGACCGAAAGGCCUCGCGCUAUUGGAGCGGCCGAUGUCGGAUUAGCGAGUUGGUGGGGUAAAGGCUUACCAAGGCGACGAUCCGUAGCUGGUCUGAGAGGACGACCAGCCACACUGGGACUGAGACACGGCCCAGACUCCUACGGGAGGCAGCAGUGGGGAAUUUUGGACAAUGGGGGCAACCCUGAUCCAGCCAUGCCGCGUGAGGGAAGAAGGCCUUCGGGUUGUAAACCGCUUUUGUUCGGGAAGAAAUCCUCUGGGCUAAUACCCCGGGGGGAUGACGGUACCGGAAGAAUAAGCACCGGCUAACUACGUG